This is an unclassified non-coding RNA of Capra hircus (goat), 333 nucleotides long. Its record names the gene 7SK. It matches the Rfam family "7SK RNA". Rfam says of the family: 7SK was discovered as an abundant small nuclear RNA in the mid-70s but a possible function has only recently been suggested. Two independent studies have found that 7SK RNA binds the CDK9/cyclin T complex (known as elongation factor P-TEFb). NCBI's taxonomy places the organism in Eukaryota, Metazoa, Chordata, Mammalia, Artiodactyla, Bovidae. The record is from Ensembl.
UGGUUGAGGGUGAUCUGGUGGCAGCACCUGUCACCCCACAGGUCUUCAGGGUUGAUUCAGUUCAUCUGCUUGCCUAGGUAGUGUCCCUUCCCUCCCUCCCUCAGUGAUCUGUGUGUGUCCCUCCCAAAACUGCAUUCUCCGUCAAAGAGGCCAACUUUCCCUGGUAAGAGAAGGACAGUUCUUCGGUUAAGGGUAGACGAGUAACUGUGCUCCCUGGCGAGAAACUCCAGACAAGUUCUUGAAGUCCUUUUGUAGGAGAACGUAGGUAGUCAGGCUUCCAAGGCUCCAGACACAUCCAAAUGACGUGCCGCAUGUGGCAGUCUACCUUUCCUU